RNAcentral lists this ribosomal RNA (428 nucleotides) under Methylobacterium sp. EI215. RNAcentral's name for it is "bacterial SSU rRNA". It matches the Rfam family "Bacterial small subunit ribosomal RNA", at positions 8 to 482 of the family's 1533-position model. The record is from RNAcentral. Lineage: Bacteria; Pseudomonadati; Pseudomonadota; Alphaproteobacteria; Hyphomicrobiales; Methylobacteriaceae.
AGAGUUUGAUCCUGGCUCAGAGCGAACGCUGGCGGCAGGCUUAACACAUGCAAGUCGAGCGGGCCCUUCGGGGUCAGCGGCGGACGGGUGAGUAACGCGUGGGAACGUGCCUUCUGGUCUGGAAUAACCCUGGGAAACUAGGGCUAAUACCGGAUACGCCCUUUUGGGGAAAGGUUUACUGCCGGAAGAUCGGCCCGCGUCUGAUUAGCUAGUUGGUGGGGUAACGGCCUACCAAGGCGACGAUCAGUAGCUGGUCUGAGAGGAUGAUCAGCCACACUGGGACUGAGACACGGCCCAGACUCCUACGGGAGGCAGCAGUGGGGAAUAUUGGACAAUGGGCGCAAGCCUGAUCCAGCCAUGCCGCGUGAGUGAUGAAGGCCUUAGGGUUGUAAAGCUCUUUUAUCCGGGACGAUAAUGACGGUACCGAG